Non-coding RNA from Dermacentor albipictus, 1139 nucleotides. The record is from RefSeq and is a predicted model, not a curated record. Lineage: Eukaryota; Metazoa; Arthropoda; Arachnida; Ixodida; Ixodidae.
CGUAGUUGAGGUUUCUUUUCCUCACAUCUUUCACCGUGCUUCUCACAUACGUGUGCGAUGUCUUUUCUUUUUCAUCGGUUUCGAGAACCAACACCACGAGAUCGACGCGGUCGUGUCGUGCAAGCAUCUCUCGGGCAAAGACGAUGCUGGACUUUCGUGCAUCAUCACCAGGUCACGUGUGGGAGGCAUCACUAUACGAUCUGGCCAGAAAGAGCGGCCAGGUGUCUUGCUGCCUGCGCUGUGGACCUGGUGGCCAGGCCUUCUUGUACGGUGCUGCCCUGCCUGCUGACGUGGUGGCCAGCUGUUUGAUCAGCCUGGUGUCUUGAUGCCCACACUGCAGACCUAGUGACCAGCUAGUCUAGUGAGCUGGAAUCGCGAUGCCCGGCCUUCUGAGUUGGUGACCAGCUGUUCCUGUGGCUUCCUCGACUGCUGAUCAGAAGAUCACGCGUGCUUUAAGGAAUCACAGGACAUCCUCAUGGCUCGUGGUUCAAAGAAUGCGGGGACGUGCAGCCGAGCCAAAUUCCGCUUCCUAUGAAAGAUGAGUGGAAAAUUGCCGGCACCGGGAUUCGAACCACGGACCUCUUGCACGCGAGGCGGGUGUUCUACCUCUACGCCACCGCUGCACCGCUGACAGCUGACAGCUGACAUAAGACAGCUGACAUAAGGAAGUAUAAUAUGGAUAGAAUUGAACAUGCUCUCAGGAACGGAGGAAGCCUAAAAACAGUGAAGAAGAAACUAGGAAUUGGGAAGAAUCAGAUGCAUGCGUUAACCCAUUGAGGGUCGAGGCCGUAAAUAUACGGCGCCGCGAACAGGUCCGAAAAUGGUCGAUGCCGUAUAUUUACGGCACCGUCUGUACGUUUAAAACGCGCGCUAAUUUCCUAACUUUUUCUUGCCUGGCAUGUGGUGCUACUAUGUUGGAAUACAUGAAAUUUUUUUCUCGCAUCUCUCUCUUUCAGUUUUCGUUCUAUAGUUUUUUCUUGCUGCGGCGCGUCUGCUACCGCUCGCGCAUUGGCGCGCUCGCGGGCGCGCGGCGGUUAGUUUCGGUUUUGUUCCACACGCGGUUUCGGCUUCUUUUGCUCGCAAAACUGAUGGCUAUCUCGUUCUUGUCACUCAAAGGGUGAUCGCCUGUUACCCGCUCG